RNAcentral lists this ribosomal RNA (263 nucleotides) under uncultured bacterium. RNAcentral's name for it is "partial 16S ribosomal RNA". It matches the Rfam family "Bacterial small subunit ribosomal RNA", at positions 524 to 786 of the family's 1533-position model. The record is from RNAcentral.
UACGGAGGGUGCAAGCGUUGUUCGGAAUUAUUGGGCGUAAAGGGCGCGUAGGCGGUAAUGCUAGUCAGAUGUGAAAUACUCCGGCUCAACCGGGGAACUGCAUCUGAAACUGCAUAACUAGAGUACAGAAGAGGGAAACGGAAUUCCCGGUGUAGAGGUGAAAUUCGUAGAUAUCGGGAGGAACACCAGUGGCGAAGGCGGUUUCCUGGUCUGAUACUGACGCUGAGGCGCGAAAGUGUGGGGAGCAAACAGGAUUAGAUACC